Molecule: long non-coding RNA, 222 nt
Filed under: Capra hircus (goat)
Lineage: Eukaryota; Metazoa; Chordata; Mammalia; Artiodactyla; Bovidae
Description: lncRNA (ENSCHIG00000003644.1)
Source: RNAcentral
AUUGCGUGAGGGCAGGGCAGCCAGCCAAGUGCUGAAAAACUCUUCCUCUUGGGAAGCGCUAGGCAGUGCCCCAAAAGGGGAAGCGAUCUGUGGGCUGAUCUGCUAAUGAUUUAUCCCCGGGUCUUUAGACCUGGCACCUGUGGCACCAGCUGCAGCCGGGCUGUCUGGAAAAUCUUCCCAGCGGGCAUCAGGGAGCACAAGCCCAAACGGACCAAGAUAUGA